Molecule: ribosomal RNA, 415 nt
Filed under: uncultured microorganism
Description: bacterial SSU rRNA
Rfam family: Bacterial small subunit ribosomal RNA
Source: RNAcentral
GAGUUUGAUCAUGGCUCAGAUUGAACGCUGGCGGCAUGCCUUACACAUGCAAGUCGAACGGCAGCAUGAUCUAGCUUGCUAGAUUGAUGGCGAGUGGCGAACGGGUGAGUAAUACAUCGGAACGUGCCCUGUAGUGGGGAGUAACUAGUCGGAAGAUUAGCUAAUACCGCAUACGACCUGAGGGUGAAAGUGGGGGACCGCAAGGCCUCAUGCUAUAGGAGCGGCCGAUGUCUGAUUAGCUAGUUGGUGGGGUAAAGGCCCACCAAGGCGACGAUCAGUAGCUGGUCUGAGAGGACGAUCAGCCACACUGGGACUGAGACACGGCCCAGACUCCUACGGGAGGCAGCAGUGGGGAAUUUUGGACAAUGGGCGAAAGCCUGAUCCAGCAAUGCCGCGUGUGUGAAGAAGGCCUCGG